UACGUAGGGUGCAAGCGUUGUCCGGAAUUAUUGGGCGUAAAGAGCUCGUAGGCGGUCUGUCGCGUCGGCUGUGAAAACCCGGGGCUCAACCCCGGGCCUGCAGUCGAUACGGGCAGACUAGAGUGUGGUAGGGGAGACUGGAAUUCCUGGUGUAGCGGUGAAAUGCGCAGAUAUCAGGAGGAACACCGGUGGCGAAGGCGGGUCUCUGGGCCAUAACUGACGCUGAGGCGCGAAAGCUAGGGGAGCAAACAGG
This 253-nucleotide ribosomal RNA is filed under the name uncultured bacterium. RNAcentral's name for it is "partial 16S ribosomal RNA". It matches the Rfam family "Bacterial small subunit ribosomal RNA", at positions 524 to 776 of the family's 1533-position model. The record is from RNAcentral.